CAUGCAAGUCGAACGGUAACAGGAAUUAGCUUGCUAAUUUGCUGACGAGUGGCGGACGGGUGAGUAAUGCUUGGGAAUCUGGCUUAUGGAGGGGGAUAACUACGGGAAACUGUAGCUAAUACCGCGUAAAAUCUUCGGAUUAAAGGGUGGGACUUUCGAGCCACCUGCCAUAAGAUGAGCCCAAGUGGGAUUAGGUAGUUGGUUAGGUAAAGGCUGACCAAGCCGACGAUCUCUAGCUGGUCUGAGAGGAUGACCAGCCACACUGGAACUGAGACACGGUCCAGACUCCUACGGGAGGCAGCAGUGGGGAAUAUUGCACAAUGGGGGGAACCCUGAUGCAGCCAUGCCGCGUGAAUGAAGAAGGCCUUCGGGUUGUAAAGUUCUUUCGGUGACGAGGAAGGUUGAUAGGUUAAUAGCCUAUCAAAUUGACGUUAAUCACAGAAGAAGCACCGGCUAACUCCGUGCCAGCAGCCGCGGU
RNAcentral lists this ribosomal RNA (478 nucleotides) under unidentified oral bacterium SH24. Its description in RNAcentral is "bacterial SSU rRNA". It matches the Rfam family "Bacterial small subunit ribosomal RNA", at positions 54 to 521 of the family's 1533-position model. The record is from RNAcentral.